GUUUUGACUACAUAGCUCGGUUGGUUAGAGUGUGGUGCUGAUAACGCCAAGGUUGCAGGUUCGAUCAGUGUAUGGGACA
Podarcis lilfordi (Lilford's wall lizard) is the source of this 79-nucleotide non-coding RNA. The record is from the annotation of a GenBank genome assembly. NCBI's taxonomy places the organism in Eukaryota, Metazoa, Chordata, Lepidosauria, Squamata, Lacertidae.